CCUACGGGUGGCAGCAGUGGGGAAUAUUGCACAAUGGGGGAAACCCUGAUGCAGCGACGCCGCGUGAGCGAUUAAGUAUUUCGGUAUGUAAAGCUCUAUCAGCAGGGAAGAAAAUGACGGUACCUGACUACGAAGCCCCGGCUAACUACGGGCCAGCAGCCGCGGUAAUACGUAGGGGGCAAGCGUUAUCCGGAUUUACUGGGUGUAAAGGGAGCGUAGACGGCUGUGCAAGCCAGAUGUGAAAGCCCGGGGCUCAACCCCGGGACUGCAUUUGGAACUGUGUGGCUGGAGUGUCGGAGAGGCAGGCGGAAUUCCUAGUGUAGCGGUGAAAUGCGUAGAUAUUAGGAGGAACACCAGUGGCGAAGGCGGCCUGCUGGACGAUGACUGACGUUGAGGCUCGAAAGCGUGGGGAGCAAACAGGAUUAGAUACCCUGGUAGUC
Molecule: ribosomal RNA, 440 nt
Filed under: uncultured bacterium
Lineage: Bacteria
Description: partial 16S ribosomal RNA
Rfam family: Bacterial small subunit ribosomal RNA
Source: RNAcentral